This 63-nucleotide transfer RNA is filed under the name Erragonalia choui. RNAcentral describes it as "tRNA-Cys". It matches the Rfam family "tRNA". Rfam says of the family: Transfer RNA (tRNA) molecules are approximately 80 nucleotides in length. Their secondary structure includes four short double-helical elements and three loops (D, anti-codon, and T loops). Lineage: Eukaryota; Metazoa; Arthropoda; Insecta; Hemiptera; Cicadellidae. The record is from RNAcentral.
AGUCUUAUAGUUUAAUAAAACGUUAAAUUGCAAAUUUAGAAUUAAUAAUUAUGUUUAAGACUU